GUCACAGUGCAUAAUCCAUUAAAACAAGGAUUGAAAC
This is a non-coding RNA of Methanococcus voltae A3, 37 nucleotides long. Lineage: Archaea; Methanobacteriati; Methanobacteriota; Methanococci; Methanococcales; Methanococcaceae. The record is from Rfam.